GAUGAACGCUGGCGGCGUGCCUAAUACAUGCAAGUCGAGCGAACAGACGAGGAGCUUGCUCCUCUGACGUUAGCGGAGGACGGGUGAGUAACACGUGGAUAACCUACCUAUAAGACUGGGAUAACUUCGGGAAACCGGAGCUAAUACCGGAUAAUAUAUUGAACCGCAUGGUUCAAUAGUGAAAGACGGUUUUGCUGUCACUUAUAGAUGGAUCCGCGCCGGAUUAGCUAGUUGGUAAGGUAACGGCUUAUCAAGGCAACGAUGCGUAUCCGACGUGAGGGGGUGGUCGGCCACACUAGAACUGAGACGCGCUCCAGACUCCUACGGGAGGCAGCAGUAGCGUAUCUUCCGCAAUGGGCGAAAGCUUGACGGAGCAACGCCGCGUGAGUGAUGAAGGUCUUCGGAUCGUAAAACUCUGUUAUUAGGGAAGAACAAAUGUGUAAGUAACUAUGCACGUCUUGACGGUACCUAAUCAGAAAGCCACGGCUAACUACGUG
This 497-nucleotide ribosomal RNA is filed under the name uncultured bacterium. Its description in RNAcentral is "partial 16S ribosomal RNA". It matches the Rfam family "Bacterial small subunit ribosomal RNA", at positions 28 to 507 of the family's 1533-position model. The record is from RNAcentral.